This 441-nucleotide ribosomal RNA is filed under the name uncultured bacterium. RNAcentral describes it as "partial 16S ribosomal RNA". It matches the Rfam family "Bacterial small subunit ribosomal RNA", at positions 28 to 507 of the family's 1533-position model. The record is from RNAcentral.
GAUGAACGCUGGCGGCGUGCCUAAUACAUGCAAGUCGAACGGGGAGUAGCAAUACUCUUAGUGGCGAACGGGUGAGUAACGCGUUGGUACCUGCCCCGAAGCGGGGGAUAACGGACCGAAAGGUCCGCUAAUACCCCAUGUGCUCGGUAACGAGUAAAGGUGAAAACCACUUUGGGAGGGGCCUGCGUCCCAUCAGCUAGUUGGUAAGGUAACGGCUUACCAAGGCGAUGACGGGUAGGGGACCUGAGAGGGUGGCCCCCCACAAUGGAACUGAAACACGGUCCAUACACCUACGGGUGGCAGCGGUAGGGAAUAUUGGUAAUGGGCGCAAGCCUGAGCCAGCAACGCCGCGUGUGCGAUGACGGCCUUCGGGUUGUAAAGCACUUUUGACUGGGACGGGGAAGGACGGUACCGGUCGAAUCAGCCUCGGCUAACUACGUG